AAAUUGAAGAGUUUGAUCAUGGCUCAGAUUGAACGCUGGCGGCAGGCCUAACACAUGCAAGUCGAACGGUAACAGGAAGCAGCUUGCUGCUUUGCUGACGAGUGGCGGACGGGUGAGUAAUGUCUGGGAAACUGCCUGAUGGAGGGGGAUAACUACUGGAAACGGUGGCUAAUACCGCAUAACGUCGCAAGACCAAAGAGGGGGACCUUCGGGCCUCUUGCCAUCAGAUGUGCACAGAUGGGAUUAGCUUGUUGGUGAGGUAACGGCUCACCAAGG
Molecule: ribosomal RNA, 276 nt
Filed under: Salmonella enterica subsp. enterica serovar Heidelberg
Lineage: Bacteria; Pseudomonadati; Pseudomonadota; Gammaproteobacteria; Enterobacterales; Enterobacteriaceae
Description: partial 16S ribosomal RNA
Rfam family: Bacterial small subunit ribosomal RNA
Source: RNAcentral